GAUGAACGCUGGCGGCGUGCCUAAUACAUGCAAGUAGAACGCUGAAGCUUGGUGCUUGCACCGAGCGGAUGAGUUGCGAACGGGUGAGUAACGCGUAGGUAACCUGCCUCUUAGCGGGGGAUAACUAUUGGAAACGAUAGCUAAUACCGCAUAAAAGUCGACAUUGCAUGAUGUUGACUUGAAAGGUGCAAUUGCAGCACUAAGAGAUGGACCUGCGUUGUAUUAGCUAGUUGGUGAGGUAACGGCUCACCAAGGCGACGAUACAUAGCCGACCUGAGAGGGUGAUCGGCCACACUGGGACUGAGACACGGCCCAGACUCCUACGGGAGGCAGCAGUAGGGAAUCUUCGGCAAUGGGGGCAACCCUGACCGAGCAACGCCGCGUGAGUGAAGAAGGUUUUCGGAUCGUAAAGCUCUGUUGUAAGAGAAGAACGAGUGUGAGAGUGGAAAGUUCACACUGUGACGGUAACUUACCAGAAAGGGACGGCUAACUACGUGCCAGCAGCCGCGGUAAUACGUAGGUCCCGAGCGUUAUCCGGAUUUAUUGGGCGUAAAGCGAGCGCAGGCGGUUAGAUAAGUCUGAAGUUAAAGGCUGUGGCUUAACCAUAGUACGCUUUGGAAACUGUUUAACUUGAGUGCAGAAGGGGAGAGUGGAAUUCCAUGUGUAGCGGUGAAAUGCGUAGAUAUAUGGAGGAACACCGGUGGCGAAAGCGGCUCUCUGGUCUGUAACUGACGCUGAGGCUCGAAAGCGUGGGGAGCAAACAGG
RNAcentral lists this ribosomal RNA (765 nucleotides) under uncultured Streptococcus sp. Its description in RNAcentral is "bacterial SSU rRNA". It matches the Rfam family "Bacterial small subunit ribosomal RNA", at positions 28 to 776 of the family's 1533-position model. Lineage: Bacteria; Bacillati; Bacillota; Bacilli; Lactobacillales; Streptococcaceae. The record is from RNAcentral.